This 405-nucleotide ribosomal RNA is filed under the name uncultured beta proteobacterium. RNAcentral's name for it is "bacterial SSU rRNA". It matches the Rfam family "Bacterial small subunit ribosomal RNA", at positions 9 to 416 of the family's 1533-position model. Lineage: Bacteria; Pseudomonadati; Pseudomonadota; Betaproteobacteria. The record is from RNAcentral.
GAGUUUGAUCGUGGCUCAGAUUGAACGCUGGCGGCAUGCUUUACACAUGCAAGUCGAACGGCAGCGCGGGCUUCGGCCUGGCGGCGAGUGGCGAACGGGUGAGUAAUAUAUCGGAACGUACCCAGGGGUGGGGGAUAACGUAGCGAAAGUUACGCUAAUACCGCAUACGCUCUACGGAGGAAAGCAGGGGAUCGCAAGACCUUGCGCGCUUGGAGCGGCCGAUAUCUGAUUAGCUAGUUGGUGGGGUAAAGGCUCACCAAGGCAACGAUCAGUAGCUGGUCUGAGAGGACGACCAGCCACACUGGGACUGAGACACGGCCCAGACUCCUACGGGAGGCAGCAGUGGGGAAUUUUGGACAAUGGGGGCAACCCUGAUCCAGCAAUGCCGCGUGAGUGAAGAAGGCC